CUAUACAUGACUCUGCGCAUAUCAAUAAGCGGAGGAAAAGAAACUAACAAGGAUUCCCCUAGUAACGGCGAGUGAAGCGGGAAGAGCUCAAAUUUGAAAUCUUCAAGGGUUUCCCUUGACGAAUCGUAGUUUAAAGAAGUGUUUUCUGUUAGAGAGGUGGUAAAAGUUCUUUGGAAUAGGACAUCAUAGAGGGUGAGAAUCCCGUAUUUGACUAUUCUUUCUAGCUUUGUGAUACACUUUCAAAGAGUCGGAUUGUUUGGGAAUGCAGUCCAAAAUGGGUGGUAAAUUUCAUCUAAAGCUAAAUAUUGGCGAGAGACCGAUAGCGAACAAGUACCGUGAGGGAAAGAUGAAAAGAACUUUGAAAAGAGAGUUAAACAGUACGUGAAAUUGUCAAAAGGGAAGCGUUUGACACCAGUGUUGUUUUUCCGAAAAUCAAUUACGAAUGUUUUGUUUUUGAGAAGUUAUGACUUCAUCGGCUUGCUUCUCUCUUUACGAAACUUUCUUAAUGCACUUUUCGGUUAACAAGUCAACAUCAAUUUCUUUUGUUGUAAAAGGGUAUGAGGAAGGUGGCUUUCUUUUCGGAGAAAGUGUUUAUAGCCUUGUACCUCUGCAAUCGGAGAGAUUGAGGUCUGCAGCGUAGAUCCUUCGGGGGUUAGAUACAUUUGUGCUAAGUUAUAGCUUUUCAUAGACAACUUGUUGACUAUGUUAAGUCUUGUAGCUUACUCGCUUAUGCUAUUUUACCUACGCUUAGGAUGUUGAUAGUCACAGCGUGUAC
RNAcentral lists this ribosomal RNA (775 nucleotides) under uncultured Neocallimastigales. Its description in RNAcentral is "partial large subunit ribosomal RNA". It matches the Rfam family "Eukaryotic large subunit ribosomal RNA", at positions 22 to 644 of the family's 3401-position model. Lineage: Eukaryota; Fungi; Neocallimastigomycota; Neocallimastigomycetes; Neocallimastigales. The record is from RNAcentral.